ACCUUUAUCCUGCGCUGUAGUAUUGCUGCCCUCUGAUACGGUCCGACAGAACCAAACCAAAACACCUCCAUAACAAUGAUGUGACGGAAAUGUAUCUGGCAUUGGCAAAGGAGCACGAGUUUGUUGAAGGAUUUAUUGAUAAAUAUUGUGAGUUCGAGUGUCUUUGGUGCACAAAAUGCAAAGAUUACAGUAAUAAAGUGAAAAGGGCCAAAGCCAUUGAAGAUUUGGCAGAACAUAGCUGGGCAUUUCAUCCGGAUGCCAACCCGGAUUGGGUGGGUAAAAAAAAAAACUAAAUUUACACACAGUCUUCCUAAAGGAACAUAAGAAGAUUGAGUCUUCAAAGAGAUCGGGUGCCGGAGCCGACCAAGUGUAUGAGACCACCCUCUGGUAUUAUGAUCUCCUUACGUCAGGAGUCACAGAGGACUGGAUUCGUCCUAAUGGUGUAGAGCGAGGCAGAGGACAUGCUGCCGACUGUGGAUGAAAGUACGCAGCCAGUAUCGCAUCACAGUACCGAGCCAGACCAACCUCCAACCCCAGACCUCUCUCUAUUAGUGAAGACUCCAGGCCCAUCGAAUGAACCUCCCACUGCACCCACCCCACCACAACCCCCCUCUAAAAAACUGUGCUGCAAGGCCGCAACAGAGGAGGAAUUUAUGAGCCAGGCAGAGCAGGUUCCAAGAAGGCCCCCCCGACCGAUUUGAUGCAUUUGCAACCUAUUUGGCAGAUGGUUUACGCCAGCUGGCUCCAAACCAACAAAUGACAUUUGAGCGACUAAGCAGCAAGCUCUUGUUUCAAGGGCGUUUAGGGUGCCUUAAAAUUGACAGCCAAAUAGUUGGCCUUGGUCCUUUACCUGAAACAGCAAACCUACUCCCCCACCCUCCUGUCUGAGUGCCUCCUCGCCCCUUGCUGGCAAUGAACCCCUUUCCACCCCGCUCAUCAUUCACUUCUCCCCCAACACCCUUACCAGUCCCUUCCUCAUGCCAAGAUCCACCAGCAUUUAUCCCAGCAUCCUCCUCACAACCUGCUCAUCCACCCAGCUAUAGCCACCUGUAUACGUCAUUACUGGAGGAAGACCAGGAGUCUCCACUUUUUGAAGACCUAUAAUCAAGUAUUCCCCAAUUUUACCUUUCCCAAUAGGU
Long non-coding RNA from Pseudophryne corroboree (corroboree frog), 1139 nucleotides. RefSeq lists it as uncharacterized. The record is from RefSeq and is a predicted model, not a curated record. The transcript has 3 exons. Lineage: Eukaryota; Metazoa; Chordata; Amphibia; Anura; Myobatrachidae.